This is a long non-coding RNA of Numida meleagris (helmeted guineafowl), 554 nucleotides long. RefSeq lists it as uncharacterized. Lineage: Eukaryota; Metazoa; Chordata; Aves; Galliformes; Numididae. The transcript is spliced from 2 exons. The record is from RefSeq and is a predicted model, not a curated record.
GGAUUGUUUUCUGUCUAAUCAGAAGGUACAGUUUUAAUACAAAAAAAAAUCCCUAAGCUGAAGGAUUUUGGAGAUAAUUUUGAGUAUGUGAGAUGAUAAUGGUGUUUGGGUGAAAGCACACGCAAAAAGAUAUCUUGGCCUUGCUCUCACUGAAAUCGAGUUCUCACGUUUCCUCAGUAGAAGCAGAGUGGACACCACGUGCACGCUGUGGGUGAGAAUAUUUCACAGAGCCUGUACAAAAAUUCCCCAAAUUUUCCUUGUUGCUCUCUCAUUAACAGUGGCGACAGCAGUCAGUCAGUGUGGUUCGUUAUACCUGUAAUGUAUCUGGAAUUGGAGAAAUACUAAUGGGCUGUCUGAAACUCGCUAUAAUGAUCUACUGCUAUGGAUUUAAAACUAAUUCUGAAAAAAAUUACUAUGAGCCGAUGAAUAUUGAUUUUGCUUUUCUUUUAGUGAUUCCCUAUGAAAUUUAAUUGUAAUAAAAAUUCAAAAAAAAAAAAAGAAUACUGUAGAAAAGAAAAACCGAGAAGAAGAGACCCAUCAGCAUGUGGCUUCAA